AUCCAGCAGUCCUAAAUAGGACGAAACGCGUGUCCUGGAU
This is a non-coding RNA of Schistosoma rodhaini, 40 nucleotides long. Lineage: Eukaryota; Metazoa; Platyhelminthes; Trematoda; Strigeidida; Schistosomatidae. The record is from Rfam.